This 301-nucleotide ribosomal RNA is filed under the name uncultured bacterium. Its description in RNAcentral is "partial 16S ribosomal RNA". It matches the Rfam family "Bacterial small subunit ribosomal RNA", at positions 509 to 807 of the family's 1533-position model. The record is from RNAcentral.
CAGUAGCCGCGGUAAUACGUAGGGUGCAAGCGUUAAUCGGAAUUACUGGGCGUAAAGCGUGCGCAGGCGGUUUGUUAAGACAGAUGUGAAAUCCCCGGGCUCAACCUGGGAACUGCAUUUGUGACUGGCAGGCUAGAGUAUGGCAGAGGGGGGUAGAAUUCCACGUGUAGCAGUGAAAUGCGUAGAGAUGUGGAGGAAUACCGAUGGCGAAGGCAACCCCCUGGGCCAAUACUGACGCUCAUGCACGAAAGCGUGGGGAGCAAACAGGAUUAGAUACCCCUGUAGUCCCUGUCUCUUAUAC